CAAAGAACUGCGCAGCUGUGUGGAUGAAGCAACGAAAUAGACAGAAAUAACUGAUCUGGUGAGUAACAUGGAAUUCAUAAAUGAUAUUGCAGAGAAAAGUAAAUUGCAGUUUGCAUUUAAUAGCAGCUAUUCAGAUGCUGUAUUGUGGCAAUCUUUAUACACACAAUGUGAAAUUGCCAAUAGUAAAAUUGACAAGAAAUUGUUUGUUAAUAAGAAAAAACAAAAGAUCAGAAAUGUUAUGAAACUAGUCUGUACUUACAAUGCAUUGAUUUGUAAACGAAAUGCAGGUCAAGACAAUUUAGAAUCAGCAGAAAAAGAAGUAGAUUUGAAUGGGUUAACAGAAGACAAAUCAGAUUUAAAUGAACAGUGUAACAAUGUAACAGAGAGAACAUUGUCAGAAAAAGUCUGUGAAUUAGAGGAUAGAGUUGAAUUAAGAAAUGAUCUUAUUUGCCAGCUUGGAAAUGAAGUUAAGCUAGUGUGUGUUAAUACAAGAAAAAUACAGGCACAGAAUUUAAUCCCAGAACCAAUAGAUACUGAAAAUGUGUCCUCACAGAGUGAUUUGCAGAAAUGUAAAUUUCAAGACAGAGCUGCAAAACUUAAUUUGAAAAUCCAGGAACAAUUAAUGAAAAUUGUGAAAUGUAUUCCAGUUUAUGACACGUCAGUGGAUGCAUUUACUAAUGCUGAAAUGUUUGAGUCAAAUGUGGACAAAUACAGCCUAAAUGACGAACAAAGGAAUAGACUAUUUCAAAUAUGGCUGCCGACUCAAAUGGCAUGUAGGCUGACCGCGCCUGUAAAAUUCGAGGACAAUGAUGAAAUAAUAUAUGGAAAUAAGCAAGACAGAUUAACACAAUUAAUAAAAUUAACAACAGGGAAUGAUUUUGCAGACACUGAAAUGUUGGAAAAACUAAAACCACACAAAGGGGAGGAUAUUUUUAGUUUUCUUGCAAAAUUUGAAAGUGCAUAUAGACUUGUUGCUGAUUUUUCUGAAGAUCAGUUAAUUAAUGAAUUUGUGAAAAAAUUUCAAGAUCUAGAUCCAACUGCAAUUGUGUUAGCAAGAGAAAAAAGCACUUUGACAGAAGUAGCUUUGUUCUUGGAUAACUUAAGGAGGGAAACCAAGAAUGAAGGGGUUAAAACGACUUGUGGAUUUAGGCAGAGGAAGAAGUGCAGAUUUUACACACCUCCUUCUUCUUCUUCGUGGACUCAGUGUAAAAGAGUGAUACAGACAGCAGAGCC
Molecule: non-coding RNA, 1233 nt
Organism: Pelobates cultripes (western spadefoot toad)
Lineage: Eukaryota; Metazoa; Chordata; Amphibia; Anura; Pelobatidae
Source: the annotation of a GenBank genome assembly